Molecule: transfer RNA, 75 nt
Filed under: Galliscardovia ingluviei
Lineage: Bacteria; Bacillati; Actinomycetota; Actinomycetes; Bifidobacteriales; Bifidobacteriaceae
Description: tRNA-Pro
Rfam family: tRNA
About the family: Transfer RNA (tRNA) molecules are approximately 80 nucleotides in length.
Source: RNAcentral
CGGGCUAUAGCGCAGUUUGGUAGCGCGCUUCGUUCGGGACGAAGAGGCCGCGGGUUCAAAUCCCGCUAGCCCGAC